AUUGAACGCUGGCGGAAUGCUUUACACAUGCAAGUCGAACGGUAGAGGGGGCAACCCCUCGAGAGUGGCGAACGGGUGAGUAAUAUAUCGGAACGUGCCCAGUCGUGGGGGAUAACGUAGCGAAAGUUACGCUAAUACCGCAUACGAUCUAAGGAUGAAAGCGGAGGAUCGCAAGACCUCGCGCGAUUGGAGCGGCCGAUAUCAGAUUAGGUAGUUGGUGGGGUAAAGGCUCACCAAGCCAACGAUCUGUAGCUGGUCUGAGAGGACGACCAGCCACACUGGAACUGAGACACGGUCCAGACUCCUACGGGAGGCAGCGGUGGGGAAUUUUGGACAAUGGACGCAAGUCUGAUCCAGCCAUUCCGCGUGCAGGAUGAAGGCCCUCGGGUUGUAAACUGCUUUUGUACGGAACGAAAAGGUCUCUCUUAAUACGGGGGACUCAUGACGGUACCGUAAGAAUAAGCACCGGCUAACUACGUGCCAGCCGCCGCCGUAA
Molecule: ribosomal RNA, 496 nt
Filed under: uncultured bacterium
Lineage: Bacteria
Description: partial 16S ribosomal RNA
Rfam family: Bacterial small subunit ribosomal RNA
Source: RNAcentral